CCUACGGGGGGCAGCAGUGGGGAAUUUUGGACAAUGGGGGAAACCCUGAUCCAGCCAUCCCGCGUGUGCGAUGAAGGCCUUCGGGUUGUAAAGCACUUUUGUCAGGGAAGAAAAGGUUCUGGCUAAUACCCGGAACUGAUGACGGUACCUGAAGAAUAAGCACCGGCUAACUACGUGCCAGCAGCCGCGGUAAUACGUAGGGUGCAAGCGUUAAUCGGAAUUACUGGGCGUAAAGCGUGCGCAGGCGGUUCGGAAAGAAGGAUGUGAAAUCCCAGGGCUCAACCUUGGAACUGCAUUCUU
This 300-nucleotide ribosomal RNA is filed under the name uncultured Alcaligenaceae bacterium. RNAcentral describes it as "bacterial SSU rRNA". It matches the Rfam family "Bacterial small subunit ribosomal RNA", at positions 338 to 630 of the family's 1533-position model. The record is from RNAcentral. Lineage: Bacteria; Pseudomonadati; Pseudomonadota; Betaproteobacteria; Burkholderiales; Alcaligenaceae.